AUCCCAGGAGCUUGCUCCUGGGUGAGAGUGGCGAACGGGUGAGUAAUGCGUGACCGACCUGCCCCAUACACCGGAAUAGCUCCUGGAAACGGGUGGUAAUGCCGGAUGCUCCAGUUGGAUGCAUGUCCUUCUGGGAAAGAUUCAUCGGUAUGGGAUGGGGUCGCGUCCUAUCAGCUUGAUGGCGGGGUAACGGCCCACCAUGGCUUCGACGGGUAGCCGGCCUGAGAGGGCGACCGGCCACAUUGGGACUGAGAUACGGCCCAGACUCCUACGGGAGGCAGCAGUGGGGAAUAUUGCACAAUGGGCGCAAGCCUGAUGCAGCGACGCCGCGUGCGGGAUGACGGCCUUCGGGUUGUAAACCGCUUUUGACUGGGAGCAAGCCCUUCGGGGUGAGUGUACCUUUCGAAUAAGCACCGGCUAACUACGUGCCAGCAGCCGCGGUAAUACGUAGGGUGCAAGCGUUAUCCGGAAUUAUUGGGCGUAAAGGGCUCGUAGGCGGUUCGUCGCGUCCGGUGUGAAAGUCCAUCGCUUAACGGUGGAUCCGCGCCGGGUACGGGCGGGCUUGAGUGCGGUAGGGGAGACUGGAAUUCCCGGUGUAACGGUGGAAUGUGUAGAUAUCGGGAAGAACACCAAUGGCGAAGGCAGGUCUCUGGGCCGUCACUGACGCUGANGAGCGAAAGCGUGGGGAGCGAACAGGAUUAGAUACCCUGGUAGUCCACGCCGUAAACGGUGGAUGCUGGAUGUGGGGACCAUUCCACGGUCUCCGUGUCGGANCCNACGCGUUAAGCAUCCCGCCUGGGGAGUACGGCCGCAAGGCUAAAACUCAAAGAAAUUGACGGGGCCCGCACAAGCNGCGGA
This 858-nucleotide ribosomal RNA is filed under the name Bifidobacterium adolescentis. Its description in RNAcentral is "bacterial SSU rRNA". It matches the Rfam family "Bacterial small subunit ribosomal RNA", at positions 69 to 936 of the family's 1533-position model. Lineage: Bacteria; Bacillati; Actinomycetota; Actinomycetes; Bifidobacteriales; Bifidobacteriaceae. The record is from RNAcentral.